GCUUCCUUGGCUCAGUUGGCUAGAGCGCCAGUCUCAUAGGUUCAUUAUGAGCAGUGGGGUGUACUGCCUAAUCUGGAGGUCGCAAGUUCGAGCCUUGCAGGGAGCA
This is a non-coding RNA of Lentinula aff. lateritia, 106 nucleotides long. The record is from the annotation of a GenBank genome assembly. NCBI's taxonomy places the organism in Eukaryota, Fungi, Basidiomycota, Agaricomycetes, Agaricales, Omphalotaceae.